This 75-nucleotide transfer RNA is filed under the name Opitutia bacterium TMED67. RNAcentral's name for it is "Opitutae bacterium TMED67 tRNA-Thr". It matches the Rfam family "tRNA". Rfam says of the family: Transfer RNA (tRNA) molecules are approximately 80 nucleotides in length. Their secondary structure includes four short double-helical elements and three loops (D, anti-codon, and T loops). Further hydrogen bonds mediate the characteristic L-shaped molecular structure. tRNAs have two regions of fundamental functional importance: the anti-codon, which is responsible for specific mRNA codon recognition, and the 3' end, to which the tRNAs corresponding amino acid is attached (by aminoacyl-tRNA synthetases). tRNAs cope with the degeneracy of the genetic code in two manners: having more than one tRNA (with a specific anti-codon) for a particular amino acid; and 'wobble' base-pairing, i.e. permitting non-standard base-pairing at the 3rd anti-codon position. RNAcentral also lists the same sequence under 3 other names. Lineage: Bacteria; Pseudomonadati; Verrucomicrobiota; Opitutia. The record is from RNAcentral.
GCCAGUGUAGCUCAGUGGUAGAGCAGCUGUUUCGUAAACAGCGGGUCGUCAGUUCGAUUCUGAUCUCUGGCUCCA